GUUGCCAGCAAGUAAAGUUGGGGACUCACAGGAGACUCCCGGGGUCAACUCGGAGGAAGGUGGGGAGGACGUCAAGUCGUCAUGCCCCUUACGCCUAGGGCUGCACACAUGCUACAAUGGUCGGUACAGAGGGCUGGUAAGCCGCGAGGUGGAGCCAAUCCCUAAAGCCGAUCUCAGUUCAGAUUGCAGGCUGCAACUCGCCUGCAUGAAGUUGGAGUUGCUAGUAAUCCCGGAUCAGCAUUGCCGGGGUGAAUACGUUCCCGGGCCUUGUACACACCGCCCGUCAAACCACGAAAGUUGGCAACACCCGAAGCCGGUGGCCUAACCGUAAGGAAGGAGCCGUCGAAGGUGGGGUCAGUGAUUGGGGUUAAGUCGUAACAAGGU
Molecule: ribosomal RNA, 384 nt
Filed under: uncultured bacterium
Lineage: Bacteria
Description: bacterial SSU rRNA
Rfam family: Bacterial small subunit ribosomal RNA
Source: RNAcentral